RNAcentral lists this ribosomal RNA (253 nucleotides) under uncultured bacterium. Its description in RNAcentral is "partial 16S ribosomal RNA". It matches the Rfam family "Bacterial small subunit ribosomal RNA", at positions 524 to 776 of the family's 1533-position model. The record is from RNAcentral.
UACAGAGGGUGCGAGCGUUAAUCGGAAUUACUGGGCGUAAAGCGUGCGUAGACGGUUAUGUAAGUUAGGUGUGAAAGCCCCGGGCUCAACCUGGGAACGGCGCGCGAAACGGGGGGGCUGGAGUUCGGGAGAGGAGCGUGGAAUUCCCAGUGUAGAGGUGAAAUUCGUAGAUAUUGGGAAGAACACCGGUGGCGAAGGCGGCGCUCUGGACCGAGACUGACGCUGAGGCGCGAAAGCGUGGGGAGCAAACAGG